AUUGGAAUCCAUUUUAAUUGUUGCACAUGGAUUUCCAGCUGCACAAAAAUAUAUAUACUUGUGAUUGGCAAAGUGGCACUAAAAAGCUUUUUUGCCUUUUGUACAGGUGAGAUUUUGUAUAUAGUGUUUGCUGCAAGGCCUGUGGAAUUCAUUGAAUAUAGAGGUAUCAACUGCUGCAUGUUCAGGCAUACUAUUAAAAUGUUAGUCUAUGAAAGAAUAAUUAUAAUAAUGUCCAUGUGCAAUACUCUUGUAUGUGUAUUGGUUCAAGUUACUGUCAGAGAGAUGAGGUUUUUGUUAUAAAAAGAUGUAGACAUAUAUUAAGCUAUACUAAAUCUCCUGUAUAGUUCUCUUCAACUCUAUUAUGAUAUGAUAGAGCUAGGAAAGAGAAGGAAUGUUACAAAUUGUGGUGGACAAAGUAUGAAUCAUUGGCUUUAAGAGAUAACCUUGGUCUCAAGCAGAUGAAUUAGUUUGUGUCAGUUUUACGUCUGGCUGCUCAUAGCCUGUUACUGAUGACAACAUUCAGUUCCAUUUCGUUUUGUUUUUAAAACUCAGGUGUAAUUAUUAUAUAUAUUCUUAUGAUGAUUUUGAAAUAUUAAAUAUUAUGAUAUAUCAAUUAAUGUGUUGUCUAGCCUACAGGUGUAAUAAUGGAUCAAGCCUUUAGUUUAAUUUAAUUUAUCUUCAGUGAUCUUUUGUACUGGGAAAAGACUAGCUUCUGGAGCUGAGUACCAGCACAGAAACAUCUUAAUGAUUUCAUCAUCUCAAUGUUUAAAUUUCUUUCUCUUUUAGAAAUAUAUUGUAGAACUGCCCAUCAAUUCAUGUCUCACUGCUGGCUCUGUUUAUUUCUCAUCACAGUUAGCUUUUGACAUCCAGGCAAGAACUGAUCACAAUGCUGAAGUGUUCCUUUCCAUAGUCUUCAUGAGUAUUUCCUAAUGAGGAAGAAACAAAGAUGAAGGAUGAAUAUUUUUCCCGUUACGUGUUGUACAAAGUACCAUGAGCUUGUCUUUUAGGAGUGGACAUUUGGCAAAGGGAGGAUUUGCUAAGAGAUUCAUCUGUGAAGAACUAAACGCUCCAAGAAAAACACAGGUAACAGUGAGUGAACCAUUUAUCUUGGGCAAUAUAAUAUUUGCU
Gallus gallus (chicken) is the source of this 1128-nucleotide long non-coding RNA. Lineage: Eukaryota; Metazoa; Chordata; Aves; Galliformes; Phasianidae. The record is from Ensembl.